GACGAACGCUGGCGGCGUGCUUAACACAUGCAAGUCGAACGGAAAGGCCCUGCUUUUGUGGGGUGCUCGAGUGGCGAACGGGUGAGUAACACGUGAGUAACCUGCCCUUGACUUUGGGAUAACUUCAGGAAACUGGGGCUAAUACCGGAUAGGAGCUCCUGCUGCAUGGUGGGGGUUGGAAAGUUUCGGCGGUUGGGGAUGGACUCGCGGCUUAUCAGCUUAUUGGUGGGGUAGUGGCUUACCAAGGCUUUGACGGGUAGCCGGCCUGAGAGGGUGACCGGCCACAUUGGGACUGAGAUACGGCCCAGACUCAUACGGGAGGCAGCAGUGGGGAACAGUGCACAAUGGGCGGAAGCAUGAUGGAGCAACGCCGCGUGCGGGAUGACGGCCUGCGGGUUGUAAACCGCUUUCGACUGUGACGAAGCGUGAGUGACGGUAACGGGUAAAGAAGCACCGGCUAACUACGUG
Molecule: ribosomal RNA, 468 nt
Filed under: uncultured bacterium
Lineage: Bacteria
Description: partial 16S ribosomal RNA
Rfam family: Bacterial small subunit ribosomal RNA
Source: RNAcentral